RNAcentral lists this long non-coding RNA (657 nucleotides) under Olea europaea subsp. europaea. Lineage: Eukaryota; Viridiplantae; Streptophyta; Magnoliopsida; Lamiales; Oleaceae. The record is from RNAcentral.
UCAUUUUUGAAAACAGAAAUAAUAUUUUCUUCUUCUUAGAAUGAGUAUGCCAAAAAAAUCUUAAUGUAGAACAAGAACAUUCUAAAAUGUAGACAAUAAAGGUGUAAAAAUUAAGAAUUUCACUAAAAAAAAAGCUUGAUUUCAAUAGUAUUAUAUCAAAACUAGCUCUCCCUUGAUCCCAAUGUAAAGGCUUCAACUUCGGCUUCAAAAUUGUUUCCUCGCUUUUGCUUUCCAAUUCCCCGCCUCCCCCCCCCCCCUACCGUCCUUGACGGCGCCACCAGCUCUGGUGGCCCUGCUAUUAAUGACUUCGAUUCCCGUGACUUUGGUGGUGGUGGUGGAGGCGAAGACCAAAUACUCAAAACUCUGAUGUGAGGAAUUACUAGCCCCAUCCUCAGACGACGAAGGCGAAAAUGACAUAUAUGUCCUCAGCUCCUUGGAUGGAGGUGGUGGGAUAUAACGCGGUAAAGGGGCCAAAAAAUUCAAUAAGCUAUCCAGUGAUUUUGAUGCUAAGCUCCUAGGGCUAUUGGAAUUUAGCACCAUUGUUGAGGUAUUAUCAGAUGACGAAGGAGCCGACGGAUUUUGGUUUUAGGUUAAGGGAUUGUGGGUAGGGGUGAGCGUAAGGGUAAGGGUAAGGGUAAGGGUAAGGGUGAUAAAGUU